GAAAAAUUACUACAUUAGCUCCAUUGCUGGCGCCAACAAUGGAAGCUCACUUGUUGUGAUGUCUAAAGGUACCCAGUAUUCUCAGCAAUCAUACAAAGUUAGUGACUCGUUCCCCUUCAAAUGGAUUAACAAAAAGUGGAAAGAGGGAUUUUAUGUCACGUCAAUGGCAACUUCUGGUAAUCGCUGGGGUAUUGUCAUGUCACGAAAUGCCGGCUUUAGUGAUCAGGUGGUUGAGUUGGAUUUCUUGUAUCCAAGUGAGGGCAUUCACAAACGCUGGGA
RNAcentral lists this unclassified non-coding RNA (279 nucleotides) under Hevea brasiliensis (rubber tree). The record is from RNAcentral. Lineage: Eukaryota; Viridiplantae; Streptophyta; Magnoliopsida; Malpighiales; Euphorbiaceae.